UGUCCCGGGCUUGGGUCAACGCUGCGUUCUGGCCAUGUAGGGGAGUCCCGUUCCCCUACCUUCUGCCAGUGCCACCUGCUGUCUUCAUUGUUGUCGUCUUCACAAAGCAUCGCCAGUGUUAUGGGAGAAACGUGGCUUCUUGUUGCUCUGCUUUGCAUCCCGGAUGGCUCCUGAGGCUGAUUGUGUUCUCAAGGACAGAGUUGGUCCCUGUGGCUGAGAAAGGCAACUGAGGCACAGAGAGGUGAGGAAAGAGCCUGACCCUGUGGAGGAGCUACAAUGUGCAGGGGACGCUGGUGCCUGACUUCUUCUCCAGGACGGCCUGAGAAAGCUGCAGCCCACAGCCCCUGCCUUGGCUGCCUACACCUCCAUGGCCACAGAGAGCUCCAGGGAAGGGGUGAAGAGGCAAUAGGACCACAUGCCAGGCAUGGCCAAGCCCAGGCCAACAGGAACAGGGUCCAAGCCACAGAAAGGACCACUCCUCCUCCUGGCUGUAGGAUGAUGGCUGUUUCUUUGCCAAUUGCAGCUUUAGCUUCCAUCCAGGCUCCUUCCUUCUGCACCGGGUUGAUGAGGGCCUCCAAUCAACGAUCAGAUUCACCCCUUUCCUGCCUGUAUCUGACCGGGGCAGGCCCCUAACCUACCUGGCACAAGCCCACAUGCGAUCACGCAUCCAUUCUUGCACCCACUUUCAGAGGAAGCUCAUUCCCCUGCAGCAAGCAUGAGGCCCUCUGUCGGGAGCAAUGCUACAUAAUUCUAGGGAAAAAUCG
This is a non-coding RNA of Heterocephalus glaber (naked mole-rat), 764 nucleotides long. The record is from RefSeq and is a predicted model, not a curated record. NCBI's taxonomy places the organism in Eukaryota, Metazoa, Chordata, Mammalia, Rodentia, Bathyergidae.